GAACGAACGCUCGCGACGUGCCUAACACAUGCAAGUCUAGCGGGCCUGGGGCAACCCAGGUCAGCGGCAGACGGGUGCGUAACACGUGGGUAAUCUGCCCUCGAGUGGGGAAUAACACGGGGAAACUCGUGCUAAUACCGCAUGACAUCAUCUGGUCCCUGGAUCGGGUGAUCAAAGCUGGGGAAACCUGGCGCUUGAGGAGGAGCCCGCGGCCGAUUAGCUAGUUGGCGGGGUAAUGGCCCACCAAGGCAACGAUCGGUAGCCGGCCUGAGAGGGUGUCCGGCCACACUGGGACUGAGACACGGCCCAGACUCCUACGGGAGGCAGCAGUGAGGAAUUAUGCGCAAUGGGGGAAACCCUGACGCUGCGACGUCGCGUGGGUGAUGAAGGUCUUCGGAUCGUAAAACCCUGUCGAGAGGGGCGAACAGCUCGGGUGCUAAUACCACCCGGGCCUGACGGUACCUCUGGAGGAAGCCCCGGCUAACUCCGUGCCAGCAGCCGCGGUAAUACGGAGGGGGCGAGCGUUGUUCGGAAUUACUGGGCGUAAAGCGCGCGUAGGCGGUCAUGUAAGUCGGAUGUGAAAGCCCUCAGCUCAACUGAGGAACUGCGUCCGAUACUGCUUGGCUUGAGUCCGGUAGGGGAUGGCAGAAUUCCCGGUGUAGCGGUGGAAUGCGUAGAUAUCGGGAGGAAUACCGAUGGCGAAGGCGGCCAUCUGGGCCGGAACUGACGCUGAUGCGCGAAAGCUAGGGGAGCAAACAGGAUUAGAUACCCUGGUAGUCCUAGCUGUAAACGAUGGGCACUUGAUGUCGCGGGUUUCUACCCCUGCGGCGUCGGAGCUAACGCGUUAAGUGCCCCGCCUGGGGAGUACGGUCGC
RNAcentral lists this ribosomal RNA (874 nucleotides) under uncultured bacterium. Its description in RNAcentral is "bacterial SSU rRNA". It matches the Rfam family "Bacterial small subunit ribosomal RNA", at positions 27 to 889 of the family's 1533-position model. The record is from RNAcentral.